Molecule: ribosomal RNA, 2903 nt
Filed under: Escherichia coli
Lineage: Bacteria; Pseudomonadati; Pseudomonadota; Gammaproteobacteria; Enterobacterales; Enterobacteriaceae
Description: 23S ribosomal RNA
Rfam family: Bacterial large subunit ribosomal RNA
Source: RNAcentral
UUAAGCGACUAAGCGUACACGGUGGAUGCCCUGGCAGUCAGAGGCGAUGAAGGACGUGCUAAUCUGCGAUAAGCGUCGGUAAGGUGAUAUGAACCGUUAUAACCGGCGAUUUCCGAAUGGGGAAACCCAGUGUGUUUCGACACACUAUCAUUAACUGAAUCCAUAGGUUAAUGAGGCGAACCGGGGGAACUGAAACAUCUAAGUACCCCGAGGAAAAGAAAUCAACCGAGAUUCCCCCAGUAGCGGCGAGCGAACGGGGAGCAGCCCAGAGCCUGAAUCAGUGUGUGUGUUAGUGGAAGCGUCUGGAAAGGCGCGCGAUACAGGGUGACAGCCCCGUACACAAAAAUGCACAUAUUGUGAGCUCGAUGAGUAGGGCGGGACACGUGGUAUCCUGUCUGAAUAUGGGGGGACCAUCCUCCAAGGCUAAAUACUCCUGACUGACCGAUAGUGAACCAGUACCGUGAGGGAAAGGCGAAAAGAACCCCGGCGAGGGGAGUGAAAAAGAACCUGAAACCGUGUACGUACAAGCAGUGGGAGCACGCUUAGGCGUGUGACUGCGUACCUUUUGUAUAAUGGGUCAGCGACUUAUAUUCUGUAGCAAGGUUAACCGAAUAGGGGAGCCGAAGGGAAACCGAGUCUUAACUGGGCGUUAAGUUGCAGGGUAUAGACCCGAAACCCGGUGAUCUAGCCAUGGGCAGGUUGAAGGUUGGGUAACACUAACUGGAGGACCGAACCGACUAAUGUUGAAAAAUUAGCGGAUGACUUGUGGCUGGGGGUGAAAGGCCAAUCAAACCGGGAGAUAGCUGGUUCUCCCCGAAAGCUAUUUAGGUAGCGCCUCGUGAAUUCAUCUCCGGGGGUAGAGCACUGUUUCGGCAAGGGGGUCAUCCCGACUUACCAACCCGAUGCAAACUGCGAAUACCGGAGAAUGUUAUCACGGGAGACACACGGCGGGUGCUAACGUCCGUCGUGAAGAGGGAAACAACCCAGACCGCCAGCUAAGGUCCCAAAGUCAUGGUUAAGUGGGAAACGAUGUGGGAAGGCCCAGACAGCCAGGAUGUUGGCUUAGAAGCAGCCAUCAUUUAAAGAAAGCGUAAUAGCUCACUGGUCGAGUCGGCCUGCGCGGAAGAUGUAACGGGGCUAAACCAUGCACCGAAGCUGCGGCAGCGACGCUUAUGCGUUGUUGGGUAGGGGAGCGUUCUGUAAGCCUGUGAAGGUGUGCUGUGAGGCAUGCUGGAGGUAUCAGAAGUGCGAAUGCUGACAUAAGUAACGAUAAAGCGGGUGAAAAGCCCGCUCGCCGGAAGACCAAGGGUUCCUGUCCAACGUUAAUCGGGGCAGGGUGAGUCGACCCCUAAGGCGAGGCCGAAAGGCGUAGUCGAUGGGAAACAGGUUAAUAUUCCUGUACUUGGUGUUACUGCGAAGGGGGGACGGAGAAGGCUAUGUUGGCCGGGCGACGGUUGUCCCGGUUUAAGCGUGUAGGCUGGUUUUCCAGGCAAAUCCGGAAAAUCAAGGCUGAGGCGUGAUGACGAGGCACUACGGUGCUGAAGCAACAAAUGCCCUGCUUCCAGGAAAAGCCUCUAAGCAUCAGGUAACAUCAAAUCGUACCCCAAACCGACACAGGUGGUCAGGUAGAGAAUACCAAGGCGCUUGAGAGAACUCGGGUGAAGGAACUAGGCAAAAUGGUGCCGUAACUUCGGGAGAAGGCACGCUGAUAUGUAGGUGAAGUCCCUCGCGGAUGGAGCUGAAAUCAGUCGAAGAUACCAGCUGGCUGCAACUGUUUAUUAAAAACACAGCACUGUGCAAACACGAAAGUGGACGUAUACGGUGUGACGCCUGCCCGGUGCCGGAAGGUUAAUUGAUGGGGUUAGCCGCAAGGCGAAGCUCUUGAUCGAAGCCCCGGUAAACGGCGGCCGUAACUAUAACGGUCCUAAGGUAGCGAAAUUCCUUGUCGGGUAAGUUCCGACCUGCACGAAUGGCGUAAUGAUGGCCAGGCUGUCUCCACCCGAGACUCAGUGAAAUUGAACUCGCUGUGAAGAUGCAGUGUACCCGCGGCAAGACGGAAAGACCCCGUGAACCUUUACUAUAGCUUGACACUGAACAUUGAGCCUUGAUGUGUAGGAUAGGUGGGAGGCUUAGAAGUGUGGACGCCAGUCUGCAUGGAGCCGACCUUGAAAUACCACCCUUUAAUGUUUGAUGUUCUAACGUUGACCCGUAAUCCGGGUUGCGGACAGUGUCUGGUGGGUAGUUUGACUGGGGCGGUCUCCUCCUAAAGAGUAACGGAGGAGCACGAAGGUUGGCUAAUCCUGGUCGGACAUCAGGAGGUUAGUGCAAUGGCAUAAGCCAGCUUGACUGCGAGCGUGACGGCGCGAGCAGGUGCGAAAGCAGGUCAUAGUGAUCCGGUGGUUCUGAAUGGAAGGGCCAUCGCUCAACGGAUAAAAGGUACUCCGGGGAUAACAGGCUGAUACCGCCCAAGAGUUCAUAUCGACGGCGGUGUUUGGCACCUCGAUGUCGGCUCAUCACAUCCUGGGGCUGAAGUAGGUCCCAAGGGUAUGGCUGUUCGCCAUUUAAAGUGGUACGCGAGCUGGGUUUAGAACGUCGUGAGACAGUUCGGUCCCUAUCUGCCGUGGGCGCUGGAGAACUGAGGGGGGCUGCUCCUAGUACGAGAGGACCGGAGUGGACGCAUCACUGGUGUUCGGGUUGUCAUGCCAAUGGCACUGCCCGGUAGCUAAAUGCGGAAGAGAUAAGUGCUGAAAGCAUCUAAGCACGAAACUUGCCCCGAGAUGAGUUCUCCCUGACUCCUUGAGAGUCCUGAAGGAACGUUGAAGACGACGACGUUGAUAGGCCGGGUGUGUAAGCGCAGCGAUGCGUUGAGCUAACCGGUACUAAUGAACCGUGAGGCUUAACCU